Molecule: long non-coding RNA, 690 nt
Organism: Leucoraja erinaceus (little skate)
Lineage: Eukaryota; Metazoa; Chordata; Chondrichthyes; Rajiformes; Rajidae
Exons: 2
Source: RefSeq, a predicted model, not a curated record
UACAGUGGAAAACGCGCUGGCGAGAGGAUCGAUGGAACUGCGAGCGGGUGCAAAGUUGGGGGCGACGGUCCGGGGUGUGGGAUUGAGGCGGCGGGAAGUGCUAAUUAACUCAAUUUACGCCUCACGCUGCCUCCAGCGUCAUCAAGGACGAGUCACACCCCGGCCACUCCCUCUUCUCCCCUCCCAUCACGCAAAAGGUGUAGAGGUGUGAAAAACGCACACCUCCAGAUUCAGGGACAGCUUCUUUUCAGCUGUUAUCAGGCAACUGAAUCAUCCUGACACAACCAGAGAGCAGUGCUGAACAACUAUCAACCUCGUUGAUGAACCUCGGACUAUCCUUGAUCGGACUUUGCAGGCUUUACCUUGCACUAAACGUUAUUCCCUUAUCAUGUACCUAUACACUGUGAAUCAAUCAAUUAUAAUCAUGUAUUGUCUUUCUUCUGACUGCUUCACACGCAACAAAAGCUAUAUUUAAGAGAGAGUUAGGUGUGGCCCUUGUGGCUAAAGGGAUCAGGAGGUAUGGAGAGAAGGCAGGUACAGGAUACUGAGUUGGAUGAUCAGCCAUGAUCAAAUUGAAUGGCAGUGCAGGCUCGAAGGGCCGAAUGGCCUACUCCACGUAUUUUCUAUGUCUAUGUGUCUAUGUUUUUCACUGUACCUCGGUGCAUGUGUCAAUAAACUAAACUGAACUGC